GAUGAACGCUGGCGGCGUGCCUAAUACAUGCAAGUCGAGCGAACAGACGAAGAGCUUGCUCCUCUGACGUUAGCGGCGGACGGGUGAGUAACACGUGGAUAACCUGCCUAUAAGACUGGGAUAACUUCGGGAAACCGGAGCUAAUACCGGAUAAUAUAUUGAACCGCAUGGUUCAAUAGUGAAAGACGGUUUUGCUGUCACUUAUAGAUGGAUCCGCGCCGCAUUAGCUAGUUGGUAAGGUAACGGCUUACCAAGGCAACGAUGCGUAGCCGACCUGAGAGGGUGAUCGGCCACACUGGAACUGAGACACGGUCCAGACUCCUACGGGAGGCAGCAGUAGGGAAUCUUCCGCAAUGGGCGAAAGCCUGACGGAGCAACGCCGCGUGAGUGAUGAAGGUCUUCGGAUCGUAAAACUCUGUUAUUAGGGAAGAACAAAUGUGUAAGUAACUAUGCACGUCUUGACGGUACCUAAUCAGAAAGCCACGGCUAACUACGUG
RNAcentral lists this ribosomal RNA (497 nucleotides) under uncultured bacterium. Its description in RNAcentral is "partial 16S ribosomal RNA". It matches the Rfam family "Bacterial small subunit ribosomal RNA", at positions 28 to 507 of the family's 1533-position model. The record is from RNAcentral.